Molecule: ribosomal RNA, 253 nt
Filed under: uncultured prokaryote
Description: partial 16S ribosomal RNA
Rfam family: Bacterial small subunit ribosomal RNA
Source: RNAcentral
UACAGAGACCUCAAGCGUUAUCCGGAUUUAUUGGGCGUAAAGCGUAAGUAGGCGGGCAUGUUAGUCGGGUGUCAAAGCUCGGGGCUCAACCCCGAAAAGGCGUUCGAAACGGCAUGUCUAGAGAGUGUGAGAGAUUGAUGGAAUUCAUGGUGUAGUAGUGAAAUGCGUUGAUAUCAUGAGGAACACCCAAGGCGUAGGCAAUCAAUUGGCACAUUUCUGACGCUCAGUUACGAAAGCGUGGGUAGCGAAUGGG